RNAcentral lists this ribosomal RNA (253 nucleotides) under uncultured bacterium. RNAcentral's name for it is "partial 16S ribosomal RNA". It matches the Rfam family "Bacterial small subunit ribosomal RNA", at positions 524 to 776 of the family's 1533-position model. The record is from RNAcentral.
GACGAGCCACCCAAACGUUAUUCGGAAUUACUGGGCUUAAAGGGCGUGUAGGCGGUCCGCUAAGUCUGAUGUGAAAGCCCGAGGCUUACCCUCGGAAGUGCAUUGGAGACUGGCGGACUGGAGUCCCGGAGAGGAGGGUGGAAUUCCUGGUGUAGCGGUGAAAUGCGUAGAUAUCAGGAGGAACACCGGUGGCGAAGGCGGCCCUCUGGACGGUGACUGACGCUGAGACGCGAAAGCGUGGGGAGCAAACAGG